UGGGAGUAAAAUUUAAAUGCUUGAAUAUUAAUAGUUAUAUUCUUUAAAAUCAAAGAAUUUGGCGGUAUUUUAGUCUUGUUAGAGGAACUUGUUCUAUAAACGAUAAAACACGCAGAAUCUUACUUAUCUUGGUAAAUUUUACAGUUUGUAUACCGUCAUUAUUAAAUAAUCUUGAAAAAGUUAAUUAUUGGGAUUAAAAAAAUUAAAUAUAUUAGAUCAAGGUGCAGCUGAUAGAUAAGUAGAAAUGAGUUACAAUAAUACUUAUUUAUAACGGAUUGAAGAUAGAAUUAUUUUCAAAGAAGGUGGAUGUAAUUGUAAAAAAAGUUUAAUAAGCUUUUUUGGUAUAAGCUCUAAAUUAUGUACAUAUCGCCCGUCACUUUCAUUUAAAAUGAAAUA
This 396-nucleotide ribosomal RNA is filed under the name Homarus gammarus (European lobster). RNAcentral's name for it is "partial 12S ribosomal RNA". The record is from RNAcentral. Lineage: Eukaryota; Metazoa; Arthropoda; Malacostraca; Decapoda; Nephropidae.